This 252-nucleotide ribosomal RNA is filed under the name uncultured bacterium. RNAcentral's name for it is "partial 16S ribosomal RNA". It matches the Rfam family "Bacterial small subunit ribosomal RNA", at positions 524 to 775 of the family's 1533-position model. The record is from RNAcentral.
UACGUAGGCAGCAAGCGUUGUUCGGAAUUACUGGGCGUAAAGAGUGUGUAGGCGGUGUUCUAAGUCUGUCGUGAAAUCUCCCGGCUUAACUGGGAGGGUGCGGCGGAGACUGGAAUGCUAGAGUGUGGGAGAGGUAAGCGGAAUUCCUGGUGUAGCGGUGAAAUGCGUAGAUAUCAGGAGGAACACCUGUGGUGUAGACAGCUUACUGGACCACGACUGACGCUGAGACACGAAAGCGUGGGUAGCAAACAG